UACGAAGGGGGCUAGCGUUGCUCGGAAUCACUGGGCGUAAAGGGUGCGUAGGCGGGUCUUUAAGUCAGGGGUGAAAUCCUGGAGCUCAACUCCAGAACUGCCUUUGAUACUGAAGAUCUUGAGUUCGGGAGAGGUGAGUGGAACUGCGAGUGUAGAGGUGAAAUGCGUAGAGAUCCGGAGGAACCCCAGAGGCGAAGGCGGCCCCCUGGCUCGUACCUGACGCUCAGCCACGAAAGCAUGGGGAGCGAACGGG
Molecule: ribosomal RNA, 253 nt
Filed under: uncultured bacterium
Lineage: Bacteria
Description: partial 16S ribosomal RNA
Rfam family: Bacterial small subunit ribosomal RNA
Source: RNAcentral